GAGACUCUCUCCCGCGUGACCCACCCAGGCUCCCACAAGAAAAUUAGCCUAAUGCCACAAAACGCAUUGCAACAAUAUAAACUCUGUUGCAAAUAAAUUAUACGUUUAAAAUAAUCAUGUAAACGUGUUGAACAAAAGUUUGUACAUCUAGAACAAGUUAUCAUGGAUAUGUAACCAAUAUUAUAAAAUGAUCAAGAAAUAAUACAUGUAUACAUUAAUUGUAACGAUAAUUGUACAAAUGCAGAACAAGUAGAGCACAAAAUUUGUACAUGUGGAACGUUAAAAUAUACAAACGGAACAACAUUGAAAUUAAUCGUGAAUAAUAUGAAUUGCUAAACGUAUCAUAGAAUGGAGCGAAUCAAGAUAUGACAUGGAACAAAUUUAAAAGGAAAAAAAAUCAUGCUAAUCUAACCAAAGAUAUAUACCAUUGGCUAAACAUACGCAUACACACUAUGGGCCAAACAGACAUGGGCCAAAAAGACAAAAGAAGUGACGGAGAAUCCAUCUCAAUGUAAACCCACCAGUUUUGCACUCGACGUAAAGCCGGACAAUAUUUUGGUGAACCAGGCCAGGACUGUGCUAAUGCUACGCCGUUUGCUACUUCCUCCGUUCUAUCGUUUUAUCUUUUCUAAAAAAA
This 637-nucleotide long non-coding RNA is filed under the name Setaria viridis. Its description in RNAcentral is "long non-coding RNA (SVIR_LNC006330)". The record is from RNAcentral. Lineage: Eukaryota; Viridiplantae; Streptophyta; Magnoliopsida; Poales; Poaceae.